GAUCGACUGGUGUAGUGGUUAUCACGUGUCGUUCACACCGACAAGGCCCUGAGUUCGAUCCUCAGGUCGAUCA
RNAcentral lists this transfer RNA (73 nucleotides) under Exophiala mesophila. Its description in RNAcentral is "tRNA-Val (CAC) (tRNA-Val-CAC-1-1)". Lineage: Eukaryota; Fungi; Ascomycota; Eurotiomycetes; Chaetothyriales; Herpotrichiellaceae. The record is from RNAcentral.